AAGAAAGAAAAAAGAACUGCUAAUUCUUUAAACCACACCUCAACCUGUGGCUUUCUUG
This 58-nucleotide transfer RNA is filed under the name Elephantulus intufi (Bushveld elephant shrew). Its description in RNAcentral is "tRNA-Ser". Lineage: Eukaryota; Metazoa; Chordata; Mammalia; Macroscelidea; Macroscelididae. The record is from RNAcentral.